CUUGAGCCAACUCCAGAGCCUGCUCCAAGAUGCUGGCAGUUCUGUUCACAGCGACAUUGUUGUUCCUGAGCUCAGCUCAGAGUCCCAGUGAAGGGCAUCUGUAAGCCUGAAACACUGUGAUCUGAAUUCACACUUCAACAUUUACUUUAUUUCUAGAGGUCUCCAAUGAGGAUCCUGCUGCUGUCCCUUCAGACACCCAGGACCAAAGCCAAAGCCAAGUCUCAGAGACCUCUCCUGCCAAUGAGGUUGAAAACAAUGACCCAUAGAAGAAAUCCCAGGCAAAAGAGGGAGCAGUGUCCUCUGCUGCUGAUGGGAAUGAAGACAACAAUCCACAGCAGGAAACACUGGCAGGAGGAGUUCAAGACCAAUCUUCCCCUGCUGCUGAAAACCCACAAGGACCAGAACAGCAAGGAGGCCCCCAGCCUACCUCUUCUGACCCUGAGAUUUACUGUAAACCUGCUGUUGAACGUGUGCCCAACAAGAGAAGGCAUUCUCUCCCUACUGUCCUAAAACUAAGAGUACGCUUUUCUAGAGGAUGGGAAGUGACAGUCUAAUCAGCUUCAUAGAGGUAAUCUCAAGUCCUUGUUUAGGGAUCUCUCCUCUUCAGCCUGUAAAAUCUGCCUCACUCAUACCAUUGAUGCUCACAUCCAUUGUCUCUAAGUGAUACCUUGGAGACAACUCUGACCUUGUCCAGAUGUUUAAUACCUUCUUCUUAAAUUAUACAUUUGGGCUGGCUUCAGAUAUUCACCCAGCCGGGGUGCAUUUCAGUGAUCACAUUUGAAAAUAUAUCCUGGAACAUUUUAAAUCAGAACUCAAGGAUGAACAAGCUAAGCCCCAUCAUUCAGUUUCUCUUCAUGAGAAAUAAAUUAAUUCUAUUGUCUGCUCUGUGGCUGUCAAAAGAGAGUGUCUGAGAAGCCUAGGUUCCUCAGAAAAAGAGGCCAAUGAACCAUUGUUGUCUGUCUACCUGGCCGCAAUAAAAUUUUCAGCUUUCGA
Long non-coding RNA from Mesocricetus auratus (golden hamster), 993 nucleotides. RefSeq lists it as uncharacterized. The record is from RefSeq and is a predicted model, not a curated record. The transcript has 6 exons. Lineage: Eukaryota; Metazoa; Chordata; Mammalia; Rodentia; Cricetidae.